Molecule: ribosomal RNA, 301 nt
Filed under: uncultured bacterium
Lineage: Bacteria
Description: partial 16S ribosomal RNA
Rfam family: Bacterial small subunit ribosomal RNA
Source: RNAcentral
CAGUCGCCGCGGGAAAACGUAGGUGGCAAGCGUCGUCCGGAAUUAUUGGGCGUAAAGGGCUCGCAGGCGGUUUCUUAAGUCUGAUGUGAAAGCCCCCGGCUCAACCGGGGAGGGUCAUUGGAAACUGGGAAACUUGAGUGCAGAAGAGGAGAGUGGAAUUCCACGUGUAGCGGUGAAAUGCGUAGAGAUGUGGAGGAACACCAGUGGCGAAGGCGACUCUCUGGUCUGUAACUGACGCUGAGGAGCGAAAGCGUGGGGAGCGAACAGGAUUAGAUACCCCUGUAGUCCCUGUCUCUUAUAC